AGAAAACCCACGAUUCCACCUGAAGAGAAAUAACUCCCCAGUUCCCCCACCUAACACCCUUCUUUCUUCGAUUGUGCAUUCUAAAAGAAAAAGAAAUCAAUACUUCGAAAUUGUUUCCUCAGAGAAGAUAAAUCUUUCAAAUUUGGACUGAGGAAAUCCAUCAAUUUCUUCCUUAUCUGCAAGAUUUCAUCUGGUACGAAUGUCAGUAAGAAAUUCAAUUACUUAUUCCUUUGAUAUCCUGGUACGAAUGUCAUAACUUUUGAGUUUCAUUUAGAUCCAAAGUUUGCUAUAACAUAUUAGGUCUUUGUUUAUCCGCAUGGUACAUGAUUCCAAUUUAAGUGUAAUAUGUCUAUGCAAAACCCAUUAUGCAUGUGUUUCUAACUUAGUCAAAUACUGCAUUUAGUUAUUCUUAAGAAUGGUUCUGCUUGCAGUAGAUGUGCAUCUGGAUGUGUAUCAAGGAUUCAUUCUUAUGAAACCACCUGUUUGUGGGUAGGUUGUAUAUUUAAUUAUCAGCAAUAUUUUAUGUAAGUUGCUUUUUUGUUUGGUAUUCUCACUCUAGGAGUGAAGGAAAAACAACGACCUCUUGUUUGUCGUAAGAGUAGUUUUAAUAUGCAAAAAAACUUUCUAUACAAAUAAUGUUGUUCAUCAAUUGUACACCUUUUGAAAGAACUUGUGUAGGUAGAGAGAAACUAAUUACAGAUUACGUUCGUUUGAGUAUGGCAACGGAGGCAAGUGUACUAGCUAGAAAAAAAAAGAGAAACAAUAUAGCAGUACUUGGAAACAGUGUUACUUGGUAGAAGAGAGCAAACGACCUACCAGAAAUUUUUUGAUUGCAAAGGAGUUUCUUUGUCAUCGGUUUGCUGAAUAUUUAACUGUUCUAAUUUAGAAUAUAUAUCCUUGUUUGCAUUGGUACUAAGUCAAGUUAUUUCGAUGAUGCAGGGAUAGGUUUGGAUUCUCAAUUCUGAAUUCUAACAUUCUUCUCAAGGAAAACUCAUUACUUGGCUUUAAUUCUCUAGUAUGUUAUUUGGUUUUUUAGAAUGUCAUCACAAUCAUUAGUGUACGUAGUUAUUCUUUGUGGUUCUUACAGGGACACGGGUGACGACCAAUAACCUCCAGCAACAAAGAAAUCAAGAGGCAUUGCUAAGUUAAAUUUUCUUACCAAGUUGAAAAAAAGGCGAGAAAGUGCCACCAGAAUUUUGCCAGCGUGAAUCAGUUAGCCCGAACACAAGAGUAAGAUCUCGACUUACUGUAGAAAACUGGCACAAAAUGGAGAAAACUUCCCUUUUGACAUUCAUGACUGGUCUGAAAUUCCAGAGAAGCAAGAAAAAAUUGAAGAGCUUAAGAUCAGUGUUUGGGUGGAGAAGAAAAUUCAUGAAAAAUGGAAUGCAAACAAACGUAAUAUGAUGGUGCAGCAUUGCAAUGAGGAAAAAAUUGUUACACAAAACAAAGCUAAGGAAGUUAUUGAUACUAAGGUAUUCCCCUGAACUCCAGGAAGGGAAGAUUUGGAAGAGAAUCGUUCCGAUAAUGAUAUUUCAAUCCUAGAGGUCACUUCUCGUGACCAGCUGAGGUAUUCUAAAACUGUAGGAGCUGAGAAACCAGGUCGGAUUCUGUGAUGUUUGCUCAGUUAUUAAACUAAAUAAGCUUAAGGUGGCAUCUUCUUCAAUUUUUGGCCAAAAUAAAAAGGAGAACGUGGCAUUGGGAGAUGAAAUUAAGAAGUUGAAAGAGGAUCAGGUUGAUAUGCAAGAAGAAUGUCUUCAGAUGGAUUAAACUGUAGAGGGGAUGAAAAAGGAAAAUGAGAAAUCACAACAAAAAAAUAGAUGCGCUAUUGCAACUACUAACUGGUGAGGAUGCAUUAAAAGAUAUAUUAAGGUUAUGUCAGAUGAUGUAUGUUGGUUAACUUUAGAAGCAAGGAAUGUUAGAGCAUCCAUUGGCAAUACUGUACUAUCAGAUGAUGUAUGUUGAUUGUUAUUUUUCGUUUUUUCAUGUUAUUCUCCUAAAUAACUUGACUGAAAUACUGUACUAUCUAAUUUUUUAUUUUCCUUUGUUGAAUGUAAUCAAUCAACAAUUUUGUAUUAUUUGAUGUUUUAUUUUGAAUGAAUGAACUCUCUUGAAAUUUUU
Molecule: long non-coding RNA, 2118 nt
Organism: Papaver somniferum (opium poppy)
Lineage: Eukaryota; Viridiplantae; Streptophyta; Magnoliopsida; Ranunculales; Papaveraceae
Exons: 5
Source: RefSeq, a predicted model, not a curated record